CAUUGAGGUCAGAUUCUGGACCUCCCCGGUCACACCUCCUUGGAACUGUGGGAGCUUCCCAAACUGAGGUCACCACCCGCAGCCGUCUGGCCACUCCUCCUAGCCCACAACCCCAAUCCUGCCAGAAGUCACCCGUCUCUCCUUCCCUUUCUGGAGUGUGGGCUGGCAUUAUGCUCUCCCCCAAAGAAAGUCUUUUUCUGCCUGAACCAUCUGCCCGAUUCCUUCCAGCUAAACCUUACAGAACCAACAAUGCUCAACUCACUGUCUUUUUUUUUUUUUUUUAAAUAUGCCACUAUUAGGGCCUGAACACAGGGCCUCAUACUCUCUUAGCUUUUUCCACUCAAGGCUGGUGUUGUACCACUUGAGACAUCCCUUCAUCUCUGGCUUUGUGCUGGUUAAUUGGAGAUAGGGAUUUGUCUGCCUGGGCUGGCUUUGAACCUUGAUUCUCAGAUAACAGCUCCUUAGUAGCAAGGAAUACAAGUGUGAGCCACUAGUACCCAGCUCACUAUACUUUUUCAAUCAGUGGGUACUGUCCUAUGGAAGAAAAUGUGAAGUCUCAUAGAAGAAAGGAAUAACACUAAGGUAUCUCAUACAAGUAGAGAGCAUUUCCUCAGAUUUUUUUUAUUUCAUUUUGUGAUCAACAUGCUUUUAAAAUGAGUUUCAUGAGAAUUUGAAAUAUAAUGCCUCAGGUUAGGGAAAUAUCUCAGAUAGAUGGAAAUAGAAAUAGGAAAGACAUGAGGUAUCAUUUGAUGACUCAUGCUCUGAAGUUUCCCUUCAAGAUUGUCCUAUAAAGUUCCAACACUGUUCAAAAAUUUGUUUCUAAACUUGAAGUGAGUAUUUUUUCUUCAUCCUUUCUAUAGCUUUGGGAAAGUGAUGAUUCUGGUCACAAGACAAACUUGGCUGUUUUAUAUGGAAAAUUGACCUAGUUAAUUCAUUACAAAAUAAUGUGAGAGGCUUUAUCCAGAUGGUGGCUUACCAAGAGUGUAAUACAGUUUAAUUUUGAACACAGGUGUAUUUGUUGAUGUCAUGUUCUUUAUGUCUGCAGGAUUAGGGGAUAUGGGAGUUUGCCCACUUCAACACUUUUUAAAGAAAUGACUUACAUAUGGAUAAAAAGGAGAAUCAUUUGGCAUACUCAAGAGAAGAGAUUUUUCUCCACUCAUCAAGAAUACAAGAGAACAUGGAAUCAAACUCAGGUUCUGGGACUCCAAGUCUAUUUGUAUGCUUAAGUGAGGGUUAUGGGGGAGGGCAAAGACAAAGAGUGAGUGUUCUUACUGGUUUUCCCCAAUAUUACUCUAUGAAGUUGUUCUUGGGUUGCAGCUACUACAUGAAAUAACCAUAUAAUACUCCACUACCAUAAAAUUUACAUUCACUCUUUGCCAUUUCCAAAAACUAAAAGAAUUUCUUGAAGGAUAA
Molecule: long non-coding RNA, 1413 nt
Organism: Perognathus longimembris pacificus (Pacific pocket mouse)
Lineage: Eukaryota; Metazoa; Chordata; Mammalia; Rodentia; Heteromyidae
Exons: 2
Source: RefSeq, a predicted model, not a curated record